RNAcentral lists this transfer RNA (57 nucleotides) under Salmo salar (Atlantic salmon). It matches the Rfam family "tRNA", at positions 9 to 63 of the family's 71-position model. From Rfam's summary of the family: Transfer RNA (tRNA) molecules are approximately 80 nucleotides in length. Their secondary structure includes four short double-helical elements and three loops (D, anti-codon, and T loops). Lineage: Eukaryota; Metazoa; Chordata; Actinopteri; Salmoniformes; Salmonidae. The record is from Rfam by way of RNAcentral.
GGCUCAGUUGGUAGAGCAUGGCACUUGCAAUGCUAGGGUUGUGGGUUCGAUUCCCAC